RNAcentral lists this ribosomal RNA (111 nucleotides) under Caerostris darwini. The record is from RNAcentral. Lineage: Eukaryota; Metazoa; Arthropoda; Arachnida; Araneae; Araneidae.
UUCGGCCAUACCAUGCUGAAUAUACCGGUUCUCAUUAGAUCACCGAAGUCAAGCAUCAUUGGGCGCGGUCAGUACUUGGGUGGGUGACCACCUGGGAACACUGCGUGCCGU